AAGAAAUGUAAAAAAUGUUUUACAUACCUUCUAAACAUAACCCUUUAGGAGGUAAAACGUUUAAAAGUGCUGUUUAAAAGAAUUGUGUGUUUUGUUUCAACUAUAAACAAGUUUUUGGAAAAUGGCUCGUCAACGAGGAUACUUACACAGAACUGUCGCCAAAUACACAAGCUUUUGUCUAUGCUUUGACAUCCUGUGUCCCCACUGGCUGACAGUCAAGUCGUGUACAUUUAUCACCUCUGUAACACUGUUUGAUCUGAAUGUGUGAUCUUUCCUGGCAGUUGUCUGUCUGUGUGAGACAGAGACGUGUGAUUUCUGGGGGUUUUGCUGACCGGAAUGCUUACAAAUGUGCUUAUGUUAACGAAUUAAGGAGAGAGUCAUACGUCUCAGUGCUUAAAUAAUGAUUAAGACGUUGUAGUUAAAACACAGAAGAAACUCUGCAACUAUCUGUUACAAUGGCUGCUCUGAGAAAUCUUAAUACCCCUAGAAGAACGCUGUGUAUUCACCAACAAGAGGACCUGUUUAAAUGAGAGAGGACCUGACUUCUGCUCCAAGAAAAAAAAAAAACAAGAUGUUAGUUUGACAAUUUAUCCAUGAAGAUAUUGUAAAGACGUUGUUUAACCCUGAGCAGGGCGUCGACAACUCCGAGCAUCAUCUCUUAAGUCCAAGGGUUCUUUAGUGUCACAUAUCGGGAAGCUCUGGACUCCAUUUCCCAUCAGCCACUGCACUGCACUAGUUGUCACAUGACCACCUGCACCUUAUUCACGUUUUGGUUAAUGAGCACUCGUGUAUAUAUAGUCCGUGUCUGCACUGUUUGCUUGUCUUUCGUUGUCUUAGACCCCUGUGUUCCAUGUUUCUUGAUCCUGUUAGUUUAUGUUUAGUUUUGCCACAGUAUUCUACCAAGUAGUCUUAGAUUCAUGUUGUUUAUGUCUCAGUGUUUGUUUCUUGCCACAGUGUGUUUCCCAGUUGUCAUAGUGUAUUUGUUUCUUAGUACGUUUCCUUCAAUAAAUUAUCUGCACCUGCUUCUGGCUCAACCUCGAAUUGUGACAGAAUGAAAGACCAACAAUCAGAAGCAGCAGAUCGCCUCCACGAUGGAAGCAGCAGGAGAACGGAGGAGACGCAGAACCCGAAGGUCGACGCCAACCGUCCCCGCUAUAGACUCCGUCCACUUCCCACAAUGGACAUUUAUGGAGCUUCCGGACCCAUUUGACGGAUUUUUCGGUGCCCCAGAGUAUUUCCUGGUAGACUGUCAAUACUAUUUCGCCAGCCUGUUAGACCCUAAGCCAGAGGAGAAGCAAUGGCUCCGAUUUAUGUGGUCCCGGUUCUUUGGACCGGCCCGUCAAUGGGUGCAGCUCAAACUGGAGAAGCACUGCAGGAACCUGGACGGUGUAGAACAGUUUGUGGGGGAUUUCAUGUUGCGAUUCGGGAGUCCGGAGGCGAAGGAGGAGCUAGAACAACUUCUCAGGGGGGUAAGUCUGGAAGGCGAACCUGCCCUGCCGUUUACCCCCUACUACAGGCAACGUCAUACAGAGCUCAACCCCGAGAUCCAAGCCAAGCCUCCAGUCAGGAAAGUCCAAGUUCCAGUCAAGUCUCAUGUCCCUGAGGUCCAAGUCCCAGUCAAGUCUCAAGUCCCUAAGGUCCAAGUCAAGCCUCAAGUCCCUGAGAUCCAGGUCAAGCCUCCAGUGCCUGAGAUCUCAGUCAAGCCUCCAGUGCCUGAGCUCCAGGUCCAGCCUCCGGUCCCUGAGCUCCAGGUCCAGCCUCCGGUCCCUGAGCUCCAGGUCCAGCCUCCAGUCCCUGAGCUCCAGGUCCAGCCUCCAGUCAGGAAGGUCCCAAGCCAAACCUCGCGUCCCUGAGGUCCAAAUCAAGUCUCGAGUCCCUGAGUUCACGUUCAGGCCUACUGACCCAAAUGACCAAAUGCUGCUCACACCCAAGUCUACCGACCCGGUCGCCCAAGUUCAGCCCACGCCCAACACUGCCGACACGCCCAGCCAAGUUCCGCUCACGCCCAGCCAAGUUCCGCUCACGCCCAGCCAAGUUCCGCUCACGCCCAGCCAAGUUCCACUCACGCCCAGCCAAGUUCCGCUCACGCCCAGCCAAGUUCCGCUCACGCACAGCCAAGUUCCGCUCACGCACAGCCAAGUUCUGCUCAUGCCACAGUCUGCUGACAUGCACAGCCAAGCUCCGCUCACGCCCCAGUCCGCCGACACGACCAGCCAAGCUCCGCCUAUGCCCAAGGUUCACCUAGUGACCUCAGAGCCUCAGUCUCCCUGUUCAGCUGUGGACGUCGCCCAGCCUCCCUGCUCAGCUGUGGACGUCGCCCAGCCUCCCUGCUCAGCUGUGGACGUCGCCCAGCCUCCCUGCUCAGCUGUGGACGUCGCCCAGCCUCCCUGCUCAGCUGUGGACGUCGCCCAGCCUCCCUGCUCAGCUGUGGACGUCGCUCAGCCUUCCUGCUCCAUGGCAGAUAGCGUUCCCCUCUUCUGCUUCGAGGAGACCCACGCUCCUCUUCCUGGCCGCACGGAGACCCACGCUCCUCUCCCUGGCCUUACAGGGGACUUCGCUCUGCCUUCCAGUUCAGCUGGGGACGUCGCUCCACUUUCGUGUUCCACCGAGUACAGUGCUCUGUUUCCCUGCUCGGCCGAGGUCGUCGCUCUUCUUUCCUGCUCGGCCGAGGUCGUCGCUCUUCUUUCCUGCUCCGCCGAGGACGUCGCUCUGCCUUCAUGCUCCGCCGAGGACGUCGCUCUGCCUUCAUGCUCCGCCGAGGAUGUCGCUCUGCCUUCAUGCUCCGCCGAGGACGUCGCCCUGCUUUCAGGCGCCGACGAGGAUGUCGCCCUGCUUCCCUGCUCUGCCGAGUACAGCGCUCUGUUUCCCUGCUCUGCCGAGGACGUCGAUCUGCCUUCCUGCUCGGUUGAGGUCGUCACUCUGCCUUCCUGCUCCGCUGAGGAUGUCGCUCUGCCUCCAUGUUCCGCUAAAGACGUCGCUCCUUUUCUUCGCUUCUCUCAGUGUGUCGCUCCCCCUUCCUGCUCCACGGAGGACAUCGUUCCCCCUUCCUGCUCCACGGAGGACAUUGCUCCUCUCCCGGGCCUCGCGGAGAACCUCGCUCCUCUCCCGGGCCUCGCGGAGAACCUCGCUCCUCUCCCUGGCCUCGCGGAGAACCUCGCUCCCCUCUCCUGUCCCGUGGAGGACAUCGCCCCGCUUUCACAUUCAGCUGAGGUCGUCGCUCAGACUUCCCGUUCAGCUGAGGUCGUCGCUCAGACUCCCCGUUCAGCUGAGGUCGUCGCUCAGACUCCCCGUUCAGCUGAGGUCGUCACUCAGCCCGCCUGUUCGGCUGAGGUCGUCGCUCAGCCCGCCUGUUCAGCUGAGGUCGUCGCUCAGCCCGCCUGUUCAGCUGAGGACGUCGCUCGAACUUCCAGUUCAGCUGGGGACAUCGCUCCGUUUUCAUGCUCUGCCGAGGACGUCGCCCCGCUUUCAUGCUCUGCCGAGGAAAUAUCUCAGCCUCACUGUGCCAUUGUAGAAGCCGCCCGGCCUCCUGGUUUUGCGGGGGACAUUUUCUCCAGGGGGCCAGGACCACCAGAUGGAGGACGUAUAAUUUUGGGCGCUCCGGGAGUAGCGCCCUUGGGGGAGGGUUCUGUCGCAUAUCGGGAAGCUCUGGACUCCACUUCCCAUCAGCCACUGCACUGCACUAGUUGUCACAUGACCACCUGCACCUGAUUCACGUUUUGGUUAAUGAGCACUCGUGUAUAUAUAGUCCGUGUCUGCACUGUUUGCUUGUCUUUCGUUGUCUUAGACCCCUGUGUUCCAUGUUUCUUGAUCCUGUUAGUUUAUGUUUAGUUUUGCCACAGUAUUCUGCCAAGUAGUCUUAGAUUCAUGUUGUUUAUGUCUCAGUGUUUGUUUCUUGCCACAGUGUGUUUCCCAGUUGUCAUAGUGUAUUCGUUUCUUAGUACAUUUCCUUCAAUAAAUGUCAUUAUCUGCACCUGCUUCUGGCUCAACCUCGAAUUGUGACAUUUAGGAGGUAGAAAAACAUUUAAAGAUGAUGUUUUAAAAGAAACGAGUGUUUCGUCCAUAACAGUAAAAAAGAAAAAUAGUUGUACUCCGACGCGAAAUAAAUUGGUCAAGACACACUGAGUACAUUUCUGUUCCACAGUCUAUCACAGGCAAAGAGCACGAUGGCAUGGAAAAAGUAUACAGGAGUAAUUGGGGUGAUCUAAUGAUUAGGAGUUCUACAGUACUUCGACUUGGGAACAUUCAAACAUGGCCCUCAGAGAGGCAUUAUCUAAGCGACGUAUAUAUUAUAUAGAUCACAUCACCAGUAUGUCUUUACCCACUCCUGAUCUGGAGUCAAAAUUAUUACUUUUUAUUUCCUCGUAUGGGUUUAUGACAGUGAGCAGUCAUAUACACUACAAGCCAAAGAUAUAGAAGCAGGCAAAUAAUUUUUAAAGGUUCCAAAUUAAUUGAACAGUUAAGGCAUAUUUCCAACAGAACAGAAUAUUAGACAUUUACUGUAAACUAGUGUAAAAAAAAUUAUAUGAAAUAUUUCAGUGAAAAUAUUUUUCCAUAUUAAA
Long non-coding RNA from Ictalurus punctatus (channel catfish), 4559 nucleotides. The record is from Ensembl. Lineage: Eukaryota; Metazoa; Chordata; Actinopteri; Siluriformes; Ictaluridae.